RNAcentral lists this ribosomal RNA (139 nucleotides) under uncultured bacterium. RNAcentral describes it as "partial 16S ribosomal RNA". It matches the Rfam family "Bacterial small subunit ribosomal RNA", at positions 1018 to 1156 of the family's 1533-position model. The record is from RNAcentral.
UUCGGGGAGCGCGGUGACAGGUGCUGCAUGGCUGUCGUCAGCUCGUGCCGUGAGGUGUUGGGUUAAGUCCCGCAACGAGCGCAACCCUUGUUGAAUAAUCCCAGCGAGUAAUGUCGGGCACUCUAGGGAGACCGCCUCG